This 84-nucleotide ribosomal RNA is filed under the name Cladosporium cladosporioides. Its description in RNAcentral is "partial 18S ribosomal RNA". Lineage: Eukaryota; Fungi; Ascomycota; Dothideomycetes; Cladosporiales; Cladosporiaceae. The record is from RNAcentral.
CCUUUGUUGUCCGACUCUGUUGCCUCCGGGGCGACCCUGCCUUCGGGCGGGGGCUCCGGGUGGACACUUCAAACUCUUGCGUAA